RNAcentral lists this ribosomal RNA (292 nucleotides) under uncultured bacterium. Its description in RNAcentral is "partial 16S ribosomal RNA". It matches the Rfam family "Bacterial small subunit ribosomal RNA", at positions 505 to 796 of the family's 1533-position model. The record is from RNAcentral.
GUGUCAGCCGCCGCGGUAAGACGUAGGGGGCGAGCGUUGUCCGGAUUCAUUGGGCGUAAAGCGCGCGCAGGCGGCCCGGUAAGUCGGAUGUGAAAACCCGGGGCUCAACCCCGGGCCUGCAUUCGAUACUGUCGGGCUCGAGGCAGGUAGGGGAGAUCGGAAUUCCCGGUGUAGCGGUGAAAUGCGCAGAUAUCGGGAGGAACACCGGUGGCGAAGGCGGAUCUCUGGGCCUGUCCUGACGCUCAGGCGCGAAAGCUGGGGGAGCGAACAGGAUUAGAAACCCCGGUAGUCC